UCCGUUGGGUGAACCUGCGGAGGGAUCAUUACCGAGUUUACAACUCCCAAACCCCUGUGAACAUACCUUAAUGUUGCCUCGGCGGAUCAGCCCGCGCCCCGUAAAACGGGACGGCCCGCCAGAGGACCCAAACUCUAAUGUUUCUUAUUGUAACUUCUGAGUAAAACAAACAAAUAAAUCAAAACUUUCAACAACGGAUCUCUUGGUUCUGGCAUCGAUGAAGAACGCAGCAAAAUGCGAUAAGUAAUGUGAAUUGCAGAAUUCAGUGAAUCAUCGAAUCUUUGAACGCACAUUGCGCCCGCUGGUAUUCCGGCGGGCAUGCCUGUUCGAGCGUCAUUUCAACCCUCAAGCCCCCGGGUUUGGUGUUGGGGAUCGGCUCUGCCCUUCUGGGCGGUGCCGCCCCCGAAAUACAUUGGCGGUCUCGCUGCAGCCUCCAUUGCGUAGUAGCUAACACCUCGCAACUGGAACGCGGCGCGGCCAUGCCGUAAAACCCCAACUUCUGAAUGUUGACCUCGGAUCAGGUAGGAAUACCCGCUGAACUUAAGCAUAUCAAUAACCCGGAGGA
This 565-nucleotide ribosomal RNA is filed under the name fungal sp. Its description in RNAcentral is "eukaryotic LSU rRNA". The stretch from base 183 to 336 matches the Rfam family "5.8S ribosomal RNA". The record is from RNAcentral. Lineage: Eukaryota; Fungi.